CGUUGUUUGGUUGGUCUAUUGGUAUUAUGUUUUGCUCUUGCUUCUACCAUAUACCAGACUCGUUAUUCUGAAGCAAACGUAUGGAAAGAGAAGCUUGAAAAAGAAGCUUGCUGCCAGAGAAUUAGCAUCAGGGGUCACGGGGAGCCUGCAGUCUAUCCCAGGGGACUCGGGGCAUGAGGCAAGAGGUAGGGGACAACCCUUCCACAGAGCACAAUCACACACCCUUUCACAGAUGCCAAGCUGCCUACAAGGCAUGUCCCGGAAGCAUGGGGAGAACAUGCAAACUCUGCACAUACAAGGCGGAAGUGGGAAUUGAAUCUCCAACCCCAAGGUGUGAGGCUAUCAUGCUAAAUGCUAAGCCACUAACCACUUAUCCUGCACAGGCUCGGAGUGGAGUGUGGAGCCUAUCCCAGGGAACUUGGGGCACAAGGCAGGGGGCAUGGUCAGAGUACCAAGCCAUCACAGGGCACAAUCGCACACACAUUCACACACUAUGGACAAUUUGGAAAUGCCAAUCAGCGAAUGUCUUUGGACUGGGGGAGGAAAAACUGGGUGCCCGGAGGAAACCCCUAAGGCACAGGAAGAACAUGCAAGUUCUGCACACCUAGGGUGGAAGCAGGAUUCGAGCCACCACCCCCCAAAGGUAUGAGGCAAAUGUGCUAACCACUAAGCCACCAUACCUCCUGCAUGUUUAAGAUAAGAUUUUUUUUUAUUUUUUUUAUUUAUUUAAUUUUUUUUUAUUAUGCUAUUUUAUAACUAUUUUCUAGAUAUGGCA
Molecule: long non-coding RNA, 775 nt
Organism: Ictalurus punctatus (channel catfish)
Lineage: Eukaryota; Metazoa; Chordata; Actinopteri; Siluriformes; Ictaluridae
Source: Ensembl